GAUGAAGAACGUAGCGAAAUGCGAUAAGUAAUGUGAAUUGCAGAAUUCAGUGAAUCAUCCAAUCUUUGAACGCACAUUGCGCCCGGUAGUAUUCUGCCGGGCAUGCCUGUUCGAGCGUCAUUUCAACCAUCAAGCCCCAGCGCUUGUGUUGGGGGCCUGCGGCUGCCGCAGCCCCCUAAAAGCAGUGGCGGGCUCGCUAUCACACCGAGUGCAGUAGUUCAUCUUCUCUCCGGUCUUGUGAGGCGGGUUCCGGCCGUGAAACACCCCACUACAUUCAAGGUUGACCUCGGAUCAGGUAGGAAUACCCGCUGAACUUAAGCAUAUCAAUAAGCGGAGGA
RNAcentral lists this unclassified non-coding RNA (338 nucleotides) under soil metagenome. RNAcentral describes it as "partial contains 5.8S ribosomal RNA, internal transcribed spacer 2, and large subunit ribosomal RNA". The stretch from base 1 to 120 matches the Rfam family "5.8S ribosomal RNA", at positions 35 to 154 of the family's 154-position model. The record is from RNAcentral.